Molecule: ribosomal RNA, 882 nt
Filed under: Fulvifomes sp. SP-2012c
Lineage: Eukaryota; Fungi; Basidiomycota; Agaricomycetes; Hymenochaetales; Hymenochaetaceae
Description: eukaryotic LSU rRNA
Rfam family: Eukaryotic large subunit ribosomal RNA
Source: RNAcentral
GGGAAGAGCUCAAAUUUAAAAUCUGGCGGCUUUUUUCGGUCGUCCGAGUUGUAAUCUGGAGAGGCAUUUUCCGCGUUGGACCGUGCACAAGUCUCCUGGAACGGAGCGUCAUAGAGGGUGAGAAUCCCGUCCAUGACACGGACCGCCAAUGCUGUGUGAUAUGCUUUCGAAGAGUCGCGUUGUUUGGGAAUGCAGCGCAAAACGGGUGGUAAAUUCCAUCUAAAGCUAAAUAUUGGCGAGAGACCGAUAGCGAACAAGUACCGUGAGGGAAAGAUGAAAAGCACUUUGAAAAGAGAGUUAAACAGUACGUGAAAUUGUUGAAAGGGAAACGCUUGAAGUCAGUCGCGUUCCUUGGAACUCAGCCUCGCCUUCGGGUUUGGUGUACUUUCCAUGUGAACGGGUCAACGUCAAUUUUGGCCGGUGGACAAAGGCGGGGGGAACGUAGCGUCGCUUCGGCGACGUGUUAUAGCCCCUUGUUGUAUGCACCGGCUGGGAUUGAGGACCGCAGCACGCCCUUUUUUGUGGCCGUGGGCUCGCUCUACGUACCGUGCUUAGGACGUUGGCAUAAUGGCUUUAAGCGACCCGUCUUGAAACACGGACCAAGGAGUCUAACAUGCUUGCGAGUGUUCGGGUGGAAAACCCUUGCGCGUAAUGAAGGUGAAAGGUUAGGAGCCCCUCGAGGGGGGGGGGGACCUGACGCCCGGGCCUGGAAGUUCCCUCUGACGCCGCUGCCGGCGAAGCAGGCAUGGUUGGGAACCGGAAAGAUUGGUGACUAAUGCCUGAAUAGGGCGAAGCCGAAGGAAACUUCUGGUGAAGCUCGUAGCGAUUCUGACUUGCAAAUCGAUCGUCAAAUUUGGGUAUAGGGCGAAGACUAUCGACAUC